This 371-nucleotide unclassified non-coding RNA is filed under the name uncultured Oscillospiraceae bacterium. Its description in RNAcentral is "contains 16S-23S intergenic spacer region". Lineage: Bacteria; Bacillati; Bacillota; Clostridia; Eubacteriales; Oscillospiraceae. The record is from RNAcentral.
UCCGUUUUGUCAACGGCAGUCUCGCCAGAGUCCUCUUGCGUAGUAACUGACGAUAAGGGUUGCGCUCGUUGCGGGACUUAACCCAACAUCUCACGACACGAGCUGACGACAACCAUGCACCACCUGUCUCGAUGUCCCCGAAGGGAAGAUCCUAUCUCUAGGACUGUCGUCGGAUGUCAAGACCUGGUAAGGUUCUUCGCGUUGCGUCGAAUUAAACCACAUACUCCACUGCUUGUGCGGGGCCCCGUCAAUUCCUUUGAGUUUCAACCUUGCGGUCGUACUCCCCAGGUGGAUUACUUAUUGUGUUAACUGCGGCACAGAUGGUGUGUAACCACCUACACCUAGUAAUCAUCGUUUACGGCAUGGACUAC